Molecule: ribosomal RNA, 291 nt
Filed under: uncultured bacterium
Lineage: Bacteria
Description: partial 16S ribosomal RNA
Rfam family: Bacterial small subunit ribosomal RNA
Source: RNAcentral
AUUGAACGCUGGCGGCAGGCCUAACACAUGCAAGUCGAGCGGUAGAGAGGUGCUUGCAUCUCUUGAGAGCGGUGGACGGGUGAGUAAUGCCUAGGAAUCUGCCUGGUGGUGGGGGAUAACGUUCGGAAACGGACGCUAAUACCGCAUACGUCCUACGGGNGAAAGCGGGGGGAUCUUCGGACCUCGGCGCCAUUAGAUGAGCCUAGGUCGGAUUAGCUAGUUGGUGAGGUAAUGGCUCGACCAAGGCGACGAUCCGUAACUGGUCUGAGAGGAUGAUCAGUCACACUGGAA